This 745-nucleotide ribosomal RNA is filed under the name Curtobacterium pusillum. RNAcentral's name for it is "bacterial SSU rRNA". It matches the Rfam family "Bacterial small subunit ribosomal RNA", at positions 78 to 835 of the family's 1533-position model. Lineage: Bacteria; Bacillati; Actinomycetota; Actinomycetes; Micrococcales; Microbacteriaceae. The record is from RNAcentral.
GCUUGCUGGGUGAGAUUAGUGGCGAACGGGUGAGUAACACGUGAGUAACCUGCCCCUGACUCUGGGAUAAGCGUUGGAAACGACGUCUAAUACUGGAUAUGAUCACUGGCCGCAUGGUCUGGUGGUGGAAAGAUUUUUUGGUUGGGGAUGGACUCGCGGCCUAUCAGCUUGUUGGUGAGGUAAUGGCUCACCAAGGCGACGACGGGUAGCCGGCCUGAGAGGGUGACCGGCCACACUGGGACUGAGACACGGCCCAGACUCCUACGGGAGGCAGCAGUGGGGAAUAUUGCACAAUGGGCGCAAGCCUGAUGCAGCAACGCCGCGUGAGGGAUGACGGCCUUCGGGUUGUAAACCUCUUUUAGUAGGGAAGAAGCGAAAGUGACGGUACCUGCAGAAAAAGCACCGGCUAACUACGUGCCAGCAGCCGCGGUAAUACGUAGGGUGCAAGCGUUGUCCGGAAUUAUUGGGCGUAAAGAGCUCGUAGGCGGUUUGUCGCGUCUGCUGUGAAAUCCCGAGGCUCAACCUCGGGCUUGCAGUGGGUACGGGCAGACUAGAGUGCGGUAGGGGAGAUUGGAAUUCCUGGUGUAGCGGUGGAAUGCGCAGAUAUCAGGAGGAACACCGAUGGCGAAGGCAGAUCUCUGGGCCGUAACUGACGCUGAGGAGCGAAAGCGUGGGGAGCGAACAGGAUUAGAUACCCUGGUAGUCCACGCCGUAAACGUUGGGCGCUAGAUGUAGGGACCUUUCC